UCUAUGGGGUGCAGCAGGCGCGCAAACUUUACAAUGCGAGCAAUCGUGAUAAGGAAACCCUGAGUGCCUGUCGAUGCAGGCUGUUCAUAUAUCUAAAUCAUAUGUGAAGAAAGGGCAGGGCAAGACCGGUGCCAGCCGCCGCGGUAAUACCGGCUGCUCGAGUGAUGGCCACUAUUACUGGGUUUAAAGCGUCCGUAGCUUGACUGUUAGGUCUCUUGGGAAAUCUUCACGCUCAACGUGAAGGCGUCUAAGAGAUACCGGCAGUCUUGGAACUGGGAGAGGUAAACCGUACUUCGGGGGUAGGAGUGAAAUCUUGUAAUCCUCGAGGGACGACCUAUGGCGAAGGCAGUUUACCAGAACAGCUUCGACAGUGAGGGACGAAAGCUGGGGGAGCAAACGGGAUUAGAUACCCCGGUAGUCCCAGCCGUAAACAAUGUGCGUUAGGUGUGUCGGUAACCACGUGUUACUGAUGCGCCGAAGAGAAAUCGUGAAACGCACCACCUGGGAAGUACGGUCGCAAGGCUGAAACUUAAAGGAAUUGGCGGGGGAGCACCACAACAGGUGGAGCCUGCGGUUUAAUUGGAUUUAACGCCGGACAUCUCACCGGAUAAGACAGCUGAAUGAUUGUCAAUCUGAAGGUUUUACAUGACUAGCUGAGAGGAGGUGCAU
Molecule: ribosomal RNA, 669 nt
Filed under: uncultured archaeon
Lineage: Archaea
Description: bacterial SSU rRNA
Rfam family: Archaeal small subunit ribosomal RNA
Source: RNAcentral